RNAcentral lists this ribosomal RNA (1643 nucleotides) under Plasmodium inui. RNAcentral's name for it is "SSU rRNA". It matches the Rfam family "Eukaryotic small subunit ribosomal RNA", at positions 37 to 1460 of the family's 1831-position model. Lineage: Eukaryota; Apicomplexa; Aconoidasida; Haemosporida; Plasmodiidae. The record is from RNAcentral.
UCAAAGAUUAAGCCAUGCAAGUGAAAGUAUAUGCAUAUUUUAUAUGUAGAAACUGCGAACGGCUCAUUAAAACAGUUAUAAUCUACUUGACAUUUUUUCUAUAAGGAUAACUACGGAAAAGCUGUAGCUAAUACUUGCUUUAGCACUCUUGAAUUAAGUUCUUGAGUGUGUACUUGUUAAGCCUUUUAAGAAAAAAGUUAUUAACUUAAGGAAUUAUAACAAAGAAGCAACACGUAAAUGGAUUUUCCAUUUUUUAGUGUGUAUCAAUCGAGUUUCUGACCUAUCAGCUUUUGAUGUUAGGGUAUUGGCCUAACAUGGCUAUGACGGGUAACGGGGAAUUAGAGUUCGAUUCCGGAGAGGGAGCCUGAGAAAUAGCUACCACAUCUAAGGAAGGCAGCAGGCGCGUAAAUUACCCAAUUCUAAAGAAGAGAGGUAGUGACAAGAAAUAACAAUACAAGGCCAAUCUGGCUUUGUAAUUGGAAUGAUGGGAAUUUAAAACCUUCCCAAAACUCAAUUGGAGGGCAAGUCUGGUGCCAGCAGCCGCGGUAAUUCCAGCUCCAAUAGCGUAUAUUAAAAUUGUUGCAGUUAAAACGCUCGUAGUUGAAUUUCAAAGAAUCGAUAUUUUAAGUAGCACUUUGUAGAUUAAUCCACAUAACUGAUACUACGUAUCGACUUUGUGAGCAUUUUUCUACUUAUGUGUGCUUUUAAUUAAAAUGAUUCUUUUUAAGAUCUUUCUUUUUUGCUUCGGCAUUUUAGGAGAUCUUGUUACUUUGAGUAAAUUAGAGUGUUCAAAGCAAACAGAUUAUAGCAUCUUUAUGCGUUUGAAUACUAUAGCAUGGAAUAACAAAAUUGAACAAGUCAGAAUUUUGUUCUUUUUUCUUAUUUUGGCUUAGUUACGAUUAAUAGGAGUAGCUUGGGGGCAUUUGUAUUCAGAUGUCAGAGGUGAAAUUCUUAGAUUUUCUGGAGACAAACAACUGCGAAAGCAUUUGCCUAAAAUACUUCCAUUAAUCAAGAACGAAAGUUAAGGGAGUGAAGACGAUCAGAUACCGUCGUAAUCUUAACCAUAAACUAUGCCGACUAGGCUUUGGAUGAAAGAUUUUAAAAUAAGAGUUUUUUCUCUGAGGAGUUAAAACUCUUAGAUUGCUUCCUUCAGUGCCUUAUGAGAAAUCAAAGUCUUUGGGUUCUGGGGCGAGUAUUCGCGCAAGCGAGAAAGUUAAAAGAAUUGACGGAAGGGCACCACCAGGCGUGGAGCUUGCGGCUUAAUUUGACUCAACACGGGAAAACUCACUAGUUUAAGACAAGAGUAGGAUUGACAGAUUAAUAGCUCUUUCUUGAUUUCUUGGAUGGUGAUGCAUGGCCGUUUUUAGUUCGUGAAUAUGAUUUGUCUGGUUAAUUCCGAUAACGAACGAGAUCUUAACCUGCUAAUUAGCGGCAAAUACGAUAUAUUCUUAUGUGGAAUUGAAUAUAGUUGAUUUGCUUAUUUUGAAGAAAAUAUUGGGAUACGUAAUGUAUCCCUUUCCCUUUUCUACUUAAUUUGCUUAUCAUACUAUUUCUUUUUUGCGUAAGAAUGUAUUUGCUUGAUUGUAAAGCUUCUUAGAGGAACGAUGUGUGUCUAACACAAGGGAGUUUAAGGCAACAACAGG